UCCGACCUGCACGAAUGGCAUAACGACUUCCCCACUGUCUCGGAGAGGCCCUCAGCGAAGUAGCACUAGGGGUGAAGAUACCCUUUACCCGCGGCAGGACGGAAAGACCCCGUGAACCUUUACUGUAACUUGGCACUGAUUUUCGGGUUAGCUUGCGUAGGAUAGGUGGGAGGCUAUGAAGCCGGGAUUCCGGUCUCGGCAGAGCCAACCUUGAAAUACCACCCUGGCUAACCUAAAAAUCUAACUCGCUUCCGUAAUCCGGAAGGAGGACAAUGCCUGGUGGGCAGUUUGACUGGGGCGGUCGCCUCCCAAAAAGUAACGGAGGCGCGCGAAGGUUCCCUCAGCCUGAUUGGAAACCAGGCGCAGAGUGUAAUGGCAUAAGGGAGCUUGACUGCGAGACAAAACAAGUCGAGCAGGUGCGAAAGCAGGUCAUAGUGAUCCGGUGGUCCUGUAUGGAAAGGCCAUCGCUCAACGGAUAAAAAGGUACUCCGGGGAUAACAGGCUAUCACGCCCAAGAGUUCACAUCGACGGC
Molecule: ribosomal RNA, 532 nt
Filed under: uncultured bacterium
Lineage: Bacteria
Description: bacterial LSU rRNA
Rfam family: Bacterial large subunit ribosomal RNA
Source: RNAcentral